Molecule: microRNA, 23 nt
Filed under: Bos taurus (domestic cattle)
Lineage: Eukaryota; Metazoa; Chordata; Mammalia; Artiodactyla; Bovidae
Description: bta-miR-2384
Source: miRBase by way of RNAcentral
AACUGUACUGGAAGGAUGGAUGG